GAGGCCUCGUCAGCACCCCUCCAGGCGUGGACUCUGUGUGUGACAGGAAAAGAAGAGUGAGUGGGUCCACCUAAUCAAGCAGAUACACCCCAGCAAUAUGUACUAGGGACCCUCUCCUGACCCACUGCUCUGGCUAUCAGUUGCUGUCUUGGUGCUAAGGAGGGCAAAAUGCCACAACUCAGGAGGACAGGGAAUUUUUCUGCAGGUCAAGGGUAAUAUGCAUUGAAUAUCCCAGCUUGAUUUCCAAUGGGGUUUUAUGUAAUGGCGAAGAAUUUUAUUGAGCAAAAUUAAACAGGAGUAAAAUCUAAGCCUUCAAGGAAGAUUAACCUCAGCUUCAAGAAAACUACAGGCAGCAACCAAACUAAGCUGCAGGACUGUACCAGGGCACUUGUAAUAAAAAUCAGAUUAUUAUAGUGGAUUAUCCACUGCAAAUGACCCAACAGCAAGUGUGGUGCCAUCUUGGGAAGU
Trachemys scripta elegans is the source of this 468-nucleotide long non-coding RNA. RefSeq lists it as uncharacterized. The transcript has 3 exons. NCBI's taxonomy places the organism in Eukaryota, Metazoa, Chordata, Testudines, Emydidae. The record is from RefSeq and is a predicted model, not a curated record.